Molecule: long non-coding RNA, 889 nt
Organism: Girardinichthys multiradiatus
Lineage: Eukaryota; Metazoa; Chordata; Actinopteri; Cyprinodontiformes; Goodeidae
Exons: 2
Source: RefSeq, a predicted model, not a curated record
CUUUUACUGAGGAAGAAAAAACUCAGAUUGUUGUUGGACUGUGUGCUCUGAUACUUGGUUUGGUUAUCCUGACCUCUGGAUUUAUCUACUACAGGAAAAAGUCAGCUUUAUACAACUCUAUCUGCCAAGGACGAGCAGUGAUUCCUGUGGACGUCAUUCCCGAAUUUUGAGCCUUUUAGUAGCUCAAACAAAAACUAAUUGAAAAAAGACAAAGUCCUCCAUGAUGUUCUACAUAUGGCACCUCUAACUAUGUCUAGGCUUUGGUGGUCGGGUUGAUAUACGGGAUUUUAAAUCUCAGGGGAAAUACACAAGUUUUACAUAUAUUACUGUUUUUGAAAGUUUAUAUUUGUACUUGGCGGUUUUUUGUCUUUUUCUGCAUGAUUUAUGGGGCUGCACAGUUAGUAGCUGCACAUUGUUGCCUUGCAGCAACAGUUCUACCUUUGUUUGAAUCCUGGCCCGGGGUCUUUCUGCAUGGAGUUUGUUGAUUCUCCCUUUGCAUGUGUGGGUUCUCUCUCUGCAUACUCUGACUUCCUCCCACAGUCCAGAAACAUGACUGUUAGGUUUAUUUGUCUCUCUAAAUUGCCCUUAGGUAUGAUUGUGUGUGUGUACAUGAUUGCUUAUCUUGUUGGUCUUUGCGUUGACCUGUCAUGGACUGACGACCUGUCCAUCACAGACGUCUCUCACCCAAUGACAACUGGAGAUAGCACCCCGCCACCUCAGGACCCUGCAUGGAUAAGCUGGUAUGGAUGGAUGACUUACAAAUAUCUAAAGAUAAGAAAAGAUUCUGCACAUGUGCCUUUACCCAUAAGCAAUGAUACACUUACAAAUAAAUAUAUUUGUUAUAAAUACAACUUUAAAUAUCCAAUAAAUGAUUUUUUGUCAUGUCUUA